CCUACGGGUGGCAGCAGUGAGGAAUAUUGGUCAAUGGACGAGAGUCUGAACCAGCCAAGUAGCGUGAAGGAUGACUGCCCUAUGGGUUGUAAACUUCUUUUAUAUGGGAAUAAAAUGUUCCACGUGUGGGAUUUUGUAUGUACCAUAUGAAUAAGGAUAGGCUAAAUCCGUGCCAGCAGCCGCGGUAAUACGGAGGAUCCGAGCGUUAUCCGGAUUUAUUGGGUUUAAAGGGAGCGUAGGUGGAUUGUUAAGUCUGUUGUGAAAGUUUGCGGCUCAACCGUAAAAUUGCAGUUGAAACUGGCAGUCUUGAGUACAGUAGAGGUGGGCGGAAUUCGUGGUGUAGCGGUGAAAUGCUUAGAUAUCACGAAGAACUCCGAUUGCGAAGGCAGUUCACUGGACUGCAACUGACACUGAGGCUCGAAAGUGUGGGUAUCAAACAGGAUUAGAUACCCGGGUAGUC
Molecule: ribosomal RNA, 460 nt
Filed under: uncultured bacterium
Lineage: Bacteria
Description: partial 16S ribosomal RNA
Rfam family: Bacterial small subunit ribosomal RNA
Source: RNAcentral